This 862-nucleotide long non-coding RNA is filed under the name Setaria viridis. Its description in RNAcentral is "long non-coding RNA (SVIR_LNC001249)". The record is from RNAcentral. Lineage: Eukaryota; Viridiplantae; Streptophyta; Magnoliopsida; Poales; Poaceae.
AUGAGCAUGCAAACAAAUCAAAACCCGGAUGAUCAAAUUCCAUCACAAGGAAACAAUUAUCACGCAAAAAGAACCUAAGAACCUAACAAUUGAGAUCCGCUUAUAAUUUGCAAAAGUUUUCAGUUCAAAGGAGGCAUCGAGAAAGAGAAGUACAUAGCAUGCUCGAAGCAUUGCGCAAUACCUGUGGUUAAUCAUUAAAGGUCAUGGCCAAAAUUGAAUGAUCAUAGUUCUGGAAAUACUGUAGCCAAAAUUUACUGAGACUGACACCUGCAAAGAUACUAUAAUCAGAGUGCAAAACCACAAGAACCCGACUCCAAACACUGCACAGAACAAGUCACAACUACGCCGAAAUCAAGAACCGUGUGCAAAAAUACAUCGGCACAGACUGAGUUUGCUCACAAUCAACCGUCCACAGCAGCACAAAGCAUUAGAUCACUAACCAUUCGUUGUCGGAUAACACAGGCAAAUUGCAAAUUGUUCACGACAUAUGCUCCAUAGUAGACUUCUAACAUAGUUUAAGUGCUCAGAACACAAGUAGCAAAAUUUGAAAAAUGCAACCCAACACAGGUGAAGUUUUGCUUGGGAUGGUCUCCAAUGCAACUGGAGCAUCCAGGCAUAGAGCUCAACGGUAGCGGCGGAGGGAUAGGGUCUGGUUGCGCUUCCAGGUAGCCCUCCUGGACGGCCUGUUCUUGUGGUGGGAGCUGCCCUUGCCGCGCAGGCCACGGUACUUCUUGCCAGCGGAGGUGAGGCCACGGAGCUCACGGUGCUUGUGCACAUCCUUGCACAGCCAGUUGAUUCUUGGGUCAUUGCGGAUGGCAGCGUGGGCAACAUCAACAAGGAUGAUCUCAAAGUACUUGUAGGU